AAAGAAACCAACCGGGAUUGCCUCAGUAACGGCGAGUGAAGCGGCAAGAGCUCAAAUUUGAAAGCUGGCUCCUUCGGGGUCCGCAUUGUAAUUUGCAGAGGAUGCUUCGGGUGCGGCCCCUGUCUAAGUGCCCUGGAACGGGCCGUCAGAGAGGGUGAGAAUCCCGUCUGGGAUGGGGUGUCCGCGCCCGUGUGAAGCUCCUUCGACGAGUCGAGUUGUUUGGGAAUGCAGCUCUAAAUGGGUGGUAAAUUUCAUCUAAAGCUAAAUACUGGCCGGAGACCGAUAGCGCACAAGUAGAGUGAUCGAAAGAUGAAAAGCACUUUGAAAAGAGAGUUAAAAAGCACGUGAAAUUGUUGAAAGGGAAGCGCUUGCGACCAGACUCGCCUCCAGGGUUCAGCCGGCAUUCGUGCCGGUGUACUUCCCUGGGGGCGGGCCAGCGUCGGUUUGGGCGGCCGGUCAAAGGCUCCCGGAAUGUAGUGCCCUCCGGGGCACCUUAUAGCCGGGAGUGCAAUGCGGCCAGCCUGGACCGAGGAACGCGCUUCGGCACGGACGCUGGCAUAAUGGUCGUAAACGAC
This 575-nucleotide ribosomal RNA is filed under the name Aspergillus flavus. RNAcentral describes it as "eukaryotic LSU rRNA". It matches the Rfam family "Eukaryotic large subunit ribosomal RNA", at positions 58 to 648 of the family's 3401-position model. RNAcentral also lists the same sequence under 9 other names. Lineage: Eukaryota; Fungi; Ascomycota; Eurotiomycetes; Eurotiales; Aspergillaceae. The record is from RNAcentral.